Molecule: ribosomal RNA, 616 nt
Filed under: Cortinarius rigens
Lineage: Eukaryota; Fungi; Basidiomycota; Agaricomycetes; Agaricales; Cortinariaceae
Description: eukaryotic LSU rRNA
Rfam family: Eukaryotic large subunit ribosomal RNA
Source: RNAcentral
UGUGACCUCAAAUCAGGUAGGAUUACCCGCUGAACUUAAGCAUAUCAAUAAGCGGAGGAAAAGAAACUAACAAGGAUUCCCCUAGUAACUGCGAGUGAAGCGGGAAAAGCUCAAAUUUAAAAUCUGGCAGUCUUUGGCUGUCCGAGUUGUAAUCUAGAGAAGUGCUAUCCACGCUGGACCGUGUACAAGUCUCCUGGAAUGGAGCGUCAUAGAGGGUGAGAAUCCCGUCUUUGACACGGACUGCCAGGGUUUUGUGAUGUGCUCUCAAAGAGUCGAGUUGUUUGGGAAUGCAGCUCAAAAUGGGUGGUAAAUUCCAUCUAAAGCUAAAUAUUGGCGAGAGACCGAUAGCGAACAAGUACCGUGAGGGAAAGAUGAAAAGAACUUUGGAAAGAGAGUUAAACAGUACGUGAAAUUGCUGAAAGGGAAACGCUUGAAGUCAGUCGCGUCGUCCAGGGAUCAACCUUGCUUUUGCUUGGUGCACUUUCUGGUUGACGGGUCAGCAUCAAUUUUGACCGUUGGAAAAAGAUUAGGGGAAUGUGGCAUCUUAGGAUGUGUUAUAGCCCUUGGUUGCAUACAAUGGUUGGGAUUGAGGAACUCAGCACGCCGCAAGGCCGGG